GAUGAACGCUGGCGGCGUGCCUAAUACAUGCGAGUCGAGCGAACGGACGAGAAGCUUGCUUUUCUGAUGUUAGCGGCGGACGGGUGAGUAACACGUGGAUAACCUACCUAUAAGACUGGGAUAACUUCGGGAAACCGGAGCUAAUACCGGAUAAUAUUUUGAACCGCAUGGUUCAAAAGUGAAAGACGGUCUUGCUGUCACUUAUAGAUGGAUCCGCGCUGCAUUAGCUAGUUGGUAAGGUAACGGCUUACCAAGGCAACGAUGCAUAGCCGACCUGAGAGGGUGAUCGGCCACACUGGAACUGAGACACGGUCCAGACGCCUACGGGAGGCAGCAGUAGGGAAUCUUCCGCAAUGGGCGAAAGCCUGACGGAGCAACGCCGCGUGAGUGAUGAAGGUCUUCGGAUCGUAAAACUCUGUUAUUAGGGAAGAACAUAUGUGUAAGUAACUGUGCACAUCUUGACGGUACCUAAUCAGAAAGCCACGGCUAACUACGUG
Molecule: ribosomal RNA, 497 nt
Filed under: uncultured bacterium
Lineage: Bacteria
Description: partial 16S ribosomal RNA
Rfam family: Bacterial small subunit ribosomal RNA
Source: RNAcentral